AUGCCGGGCGCCGACCUCCGGCUGGCCUCCCUCCUCGGCCUCGCCCCCUCCGUCCGCCGCACCAUGCUCUACCUCAACGGCUGCAACAUCGGCUCCACCGUGCUCCGCGUCGCCAAGGACAUCGCCGAGAACAACCGCGGCGCCCGCGUCCUCGUGGUCUGCGCCGAGCUCACUCUCAUCCUUCUCCGCGCCCCUGAGGACGAGGCCGACAAGGCCACGCUCAUCAUGCAGGCUCUGUUCGGUUACGGCGCGGGCGCCGUGAUCGUCGGCGCCGACGCGAACCGUGGCUCCGCCGAGCGCCCGCUCUUCGAGAUGGUGGCCGCGUCGCAGACCGUGAUACCGGGGUCUGAGCGCGCCGCGGCCGGACGGCUCAGCGAAGACGGGCUCCUCUUCCGCCCCGCCGUCGAGAUGACAACGCCGAUUCGCGAGAACGUCGAGCAGUGCCUGGUAGACGCGCUGCGAUCGCUCGGCCUGAGCGGUGGCUGGAACCGUCUCUUCUGGGCGGUGCAUCCAGGGGGCCGAGCAAUCUUGGACGGCGUGGAGGCGGUGCUCCGGCUGGACACGGAGAAGCUGGCGGCGAGCCGCCAUGUAUUGAGCGAGUACGGGAACAUGUCCGGGCCGACAGUGAUCUUUGUGCUCGACGAAAUACGGCGACGCCACGGAGAGCAUGGGGUUGGACGUGACGGCCUGGGUGUGCUACUGGGGCUCGGACCGGGAAUUUCCGUUGAGACCAUAGUGCUGCACGCCACUGGUAAUUACUAG
This 762-nucleotide ribosomal RNA is filed under the name Triticum aestivum (bread wheat). RNAcentral describes it as "partial small subunit ribosomal RNA". Lineage: Eukaryota; Viridiplantae; Streptophyta; Magnoliopsida; Poales; Poaceae. The record is from RNAcentral.